GACGAACGCUGGCGGCGUGCCUAAUACAUGCAAGUCGAACGCAUUUUCUUUCACCGUAGCUUGCUACACCGAAAGAAAAUGAGUGGCGAACGGGUGAGUAACACGUGGGCAACCUGCCCAUCAGCGGGGGAUAACACUUGGAAACAGGUGCUAAUACCGCAUAAUUCCAUUUACCGCAUGGUAGAGGGAUGAAAGGCGCUUUUGCGUCACUGAUGGAUGGACCCGCGGUGCAUUAGCUAGUUGGUGGGGUAACGGCCUACCAAGGCUGCGAUGCAUAGCCGACCUGAGAGGGUGAUCGGCCACACUGGGACUGAGACACGGCCCAGACUCCUACGGGAGGCAGCAGUAGGGAAUCUUCGGCAAUGGACGCAAGUCUGACCGAGCAACGCCGCGUGAGUGAAGAAGGUUUUUGGAUCGUAAAACUCUGUUGUUAGAGAAGAACAAGGAUGAGAGUGGAAAGUUCAUCCCUUGACGGUAUCUAACCAGAAAGCCACGGCUAACUACGUG
This 507-nucleotide ribosomal RNA is filed under the name uncultured bacterium. Its description in RNAcentral is "partial 16S ribosomal RNA". It matches the Rfam family "Bacterial small subunit ribosomal RNA", at positions 28 to 507 of the family's 1533-position model. The record is from RNAcentral.